GCUGGAAUAGCUCAGCUGGGAGAGCAGUAGACUGAAGCAGUUGCCUUAUAUGGGUAUUCUAAAGGUCGGGCGUUCGAUCCGCCCUUCUGGCA
Molecule: transfer RNA, 92 nt
Filed under: Wolfiporia cocos MD-104 SS10
Lineage: Eukaryota; Fungi; Basidiomycota; Agaricomycetes; Polyporales; Phaeolaceae
Description: tRNA-Phe
Source: RNAcentral